This 403-nucleotide ribosomal RNA is filed under the name uncultured bacterium. RNAcentral describes it as "partial 16S ribosomal RNA". It matches the Rfam family "Bacterial small subunit ribosomal RNA", at positions 30 to 526 of the family's 1533-position model. The record is from RNAcentral.
AUUGAACGCUGGCGGCAGGCCUAACACAUGCAAGUCGAGCGAGCGGCGGACGGGUGAGUAAUGUAUGGGGACUGCCCGAUAGAGGGGGAUAACUACUGGAAACGGUAGCUAAUACUGCAUACUAUCGGAUAACCCAUAUGGGAUUAGCUAGUAGGUGAGUUAAUGGCUCACCUAGGCGAAGAUCCCUAGCUGGUCUGAGAGGAGGAUCAGCCACACUGGGACGGGGACACGGCCCAGACUCCUCCGGAGGCAGCAGUAGGGAAUAUUGCACAAUGGGCGCAAGCCUGAUGCAGCAAUGCCGCGUGUAUGAAGAAGGCCCUAGGGUUGUAAAGUGCUUUCAGUCGGGAGGCGUUACCGACAGAAGAAGCACCGGCUAACUCCGUGCCAGCAGCCGCGGUAAUAC